RNAcentral lists this microRNA precursor (98 nucleotides) under Marmota monax (woodchuck). Lineage: Eukaryota; Metazoa; Chordata; Mammalia; Rodentia; Sciuridae. The record is from RNAcentral.
AGUAGGAUUGCUGGGUCAAAUGAUAACUGUCUGACCUACUGAGACACUUCCAGCCAUUUUCCAAAGUGGCUGCACUCAUUUACAUUCUCAUCAGCAAU